ACUCAAAUGAAUUGACGGGAACCCGCACAAGCGGUGGAGCAUGUGGUUUAAUUCGACGGUAAGCGAGGAACCUUACCAGGGUUUGACAUACCUCUGCAAGCGCACGGAAACGUGUGAUCUUCGAGAGUGAGGAACAGGUGCUGCACGGUUGUCGUCAGCUCGUGUCGUGAGAUGUUCCCUUAAGUGGGAGAACGAGCGCAACCCUCAUGAUAUGUUGAUUUUCAUAUCAGACUGCCAGCGUUUAAGUUGGAGGAAGGCGAGGAUGACGUCAAAUCAGCGUGGCUCUUACGCCCUGGGCUACACACGUGCUACAAUGGAUAGGAACAAAGGGACGCAAUACCGUAAGGUGGAGCAAAUCCUCUCAAAAACUAUCCUCAGUUCGGAUUGAGGGCUGCAACUCGCCCUCAUGAAGCUGGAAUCGCUAGUAACCGUGAAUCAGCCUCGUCACGGUGAAUACGUUCUCGGGUUUUGUACACACCGCCCGU
RNAcentral lists this ribosomal RNA (485 nucleotides) under uncultured bacterium. Its description in RNAcentral is "partial 16S ribosomal RNA". It matches the Rfam family "Bacterial small subunit ribosomal RNA", at positions 899 to 1397 of the family's 1533-position model. The record is from RNAcentral.